CAGAUCGUUAAGGCUGCAAUAAUAUUCAGAGUUGAUUGUUGCACCUUUCUGCAGAUAAUGAAUCAACAAAAUUCCAUUUGCAUCCCAAAAAAACUGAUGCCAUAACCUUCUUUGCUGAUCGUUGUGGCUUCGCCUGCCAUGUAGCUGUGCAACCAGCUUCAGUCAACUGUAAAAGUUCUUGUGUCAAUUUAGGGUCAUCCAUAAUUAUAAAACGACGGAAGAAAUCGGGUUUGUUCUGCUUAAAACGCUCCAAAUUAUGCUGAGAAAUUUGUUUUCGAUCCAGUUUUUGUUGAAUUGUUAACGUGUGCGGCUCUAACUUUUCAAACGGCUUUUUUUAUGUAAUUCUCCAUGUUAAAUAUAAAGUACUCGUUCGUCUGAGAUGUCUAUGGCAUUAACAAUUUCACGCUUAGUCAAACUUGGAUCUUCGCUAACAAUAUUAUGAACUUCCUCAAUGAUUUCUGGUGUGAUUGCCCAAAAUUCAACGGUGCGUUUUGAAGACCAACCAACUUUUCAACCAACCUGUACAUAGCCGGGCCAAUGCGUUCGUUUGCAAGUCGCUUAAACUUCUAAUUAAAACACAAGCAUUUCAGAUGAUUUUACGAAUAUUUAUUUAGUGUUAGUUUAUUAUCUUUUUUAUAUUUUAUUAUUACAUACAUAGAGUUUUCAUAAAUAUUUAGUAUAUGUAUAUUUUAUUGUAAGAUUAAUUUUAGGUAAUUUCUUUGAGUGGGUGAAAUGUAUCUCUUUUCAAUAUUUUACGUGUUCAGUAUAUUUAUAUUUAUUUAUUUACGUUUUAUUUUCAACAUUCUUCUUAUGUCGUAUUUUUUUAAUUGUAUUUACUUAAAAUUACAGCCUUUAUAAUUACACUUCAUAUAUAUAUGUAUAUAUAUAUUUCUAUGUAUUUCUUUAUCGCUUCAUCAGCGCGCCCACUUUUUCAUACCACACUUCGUACUCGUCUUCUCGUUUACCGUUUUCUUUGCGCCGGAAAUGAAUUCGCGUUGUACUACACACCUACGUUCGUACGGGUAUUUCGUGCAUUUCCUUUCUUCUUUUACCGUUUCAAUUUUGUGCUUUCAAAUAUCGCACAUUCAUAUGUAUCUAUGUAUUUGUUUUACCUUUGUUGUAAGUAUGUUUUGUGACCGUCAAAUAUCUCUGUUAGUUUUUGUCACUUGAGUGAGUUUUAGUUAAUUUGAUAUAUGUAUUAAUUCUGUUCAUUUUGUUAAUUUCUGACACAUUUACCAUAUUUACUGGAAAUAUUUAUAUGUACUGUAUACUUCAUCUAAAUAAAUUGUAUAUUUAUUUGUAACUGUUUUUUCUUGUUUUUGUUUUUGUUUUUUGCUUUCGAUUUUCAUUAUUGGAUACUUAGUUCAAUGGUUGUAGACGAGACGAGCUCUGCACUUUCAAUGUGCAUGCUCCUUGAUACGGCCAUAGGCAUGUGAAUGUGUGUGUGUGCGUGUGGAGUGUGUAAAUCGGGUUCGUUGCAAGUGAAGUCUGCACAGAUUGGUUGUACCACUAUAAUGCACACAUAUGUAAGUAUAUAUUACUACUACAUAUAUGUAUAUAUGUAUAUGAACAUGUGCAGCAUUGUACCGUUAGUACUCGUAGAUAAAUGUGUUUGAUUUUUCAAAAUUCAAUCGCUGUAUUAUCGUUUCAAUUGAAAAAUGCGACAAGUACAUUUAACAUAUUUUAGAAGUUCAUAUGCUUGCAUGUAUGUAUGUAUGUCAUGCAUUGUUAAUGUUAUGAAGACACAUUUCAUUUUUGUUAUUUUUACUAUAUAUUUAGUAUAUUUAUUUGUUUAAAUUACAAUAAUUUCUCACAUUUCAACAAUCAUUUUAAUAAUGGUAUAUUCGUAUAAUACAAUACAAUAUUUGGUUUGCUGCUUCAUAUUAUACAAUUUUAAUAUUCAUUGUCUCAAUUUUAAAACUAUCUCGUCUCAAAAGAGAAAAUAUAUGUACCUCUAUAUUUAUGGCUAUGUAUAUAUUUAUGUUUGCAUGUAUAUAUAUUUGUUUUAUUACACUUUUAUAUUUUAUUCUCAAUAAUCGUGUUGGUUUUUAUGAGUUGAACUUUAUGCCAUAUUUGUAAUUUUUUUGAUUCGAUAAAUUUUUUCUCACUUAUUUUUUAUCGUUAAUCAGAUAGAACACAGUAGAGAUCAGCAUUUACACUUUUCAAUAUAAUAAAUUAUUAAUUAAUUAAUAUUUUUGUAGUUUUCGACAAGAUUGUAUGUAAUAUAUAUGUAUAACAAUAUCAUAUAAAUAAUCAAUGAAGACGUGAUUAAUUAACUUUUUAUUUGGAGGAAUUUUGAAGUUUUAUAAAUUCAGGGAAUAAGGGAGUUCAUAAAAAAAAAAAUUUUUUUUUUGAUAUACAGAGUGUGCCAUGUCAAACCAAUGCAUAGAUAUAUUAUAUUAAUAAGUAUCACAAAUUCUUCGUAAAAAAGGCAAAUUGCAAACGAAACAUACGACCUCAAAUUUAAGGAGUGUUAACAUAUUUCUGUGAACUGACAAAUCGUUAAAUUGCUACGAUACGCAGGUCAGUCCUCCAAUGCAACCGUUUUCACUUAUACAGUAUUGGGAAAUCCAUAAGCCUUUUUUCAGACUAGCAUGUCUCAUUGAAUAAUGUCUACAUAUACGCAAUAGUAUAUUAAGACUUCGCCUUAUAACUUGUAAGUCAUAAAAAAUAACAUAGUGUAACAUAAUUACUGACAGUUUACAGCAAUAUGUCUCUAUUGAGGUUCCAUUGCUUUACAUUGUCUACUAUGAAAAUUAGGAAGAAGCUGUCAUUUGAUUUGACAUUUUAUAAUGCCUAACCUCUUUGUGACUAUCAAAAUAAUAAUUAGUCUUGAAUUGACAGUAGUAUCAGAAAUUUGUUUUUAAUACUGCACUGUAAAUGAACAAUUGUCAAGGGUCUCCUAGCCGUCGAAAUAUAUUCUAUACCUAUUGUGUAUUCAACGUGGCGUUGACCAGGAAUAAAAAGAAUUUUAAAUUUGAUAGUAAGUGACGGCUUUAGGAUGGAUGCUAACUCAGAAACGAAGAAUUAUAUUAAAAUAUACAGUUAAAUAUUUCGAAGAUGUCUCUUAUAACAUUACUUAUGAUGUAAUUUCCUCGCAAAGUGCAGCAUAAGUAAUUAUAAUGGAAUCAAAAAUUUUUAAUUGGGAAUUUGAGGUUAUUAAAAAUAAUAUCUAUAAAUUUUGUUUUUUAAUUUACCAGGAUUUGUAAUAAUUAAGAAUUCUAUAUCGAAAUUUGUAAAAUACAAAGUAAAGUAAAUAUAGCAAUUGUUUUAUGAGAAGUAGUUUAAACUCUGGUCCAGAAAAUUAUUUAUUAAAACAACAAGAAAAUAAAUUAGCACAGACAAACGAUGAAACAGCAGAAAUGAGAACAUCAGACACGAAGCUACAAUCAGUUUGACGUAUUAGGCUAAGCACAUAGUGGAAAGCAAAUGUUCCUUUUUCAUUGGCAAAUUUAAUUAGAAGUUAAUAUUAACUUUCGUUAAUACAAGUACAAACAAGUGUCAGCGCUAAUUAUGUGUACCUGAUAGGAAGUGUAAAUAAGGAAUUAUAAGAAGAGGAAGUUUGGAAUAUUUUCAUGCCAUCAAGUAAUAACAUAUUUCGACGUUUCAACGGGCGAUCCGUUGACUAGCAUUUGAUUGCAUUUAGUAUAUAAACGGGUAUUUGUAUAUAUAUAAGCACAUCUAUAUGCGGAUGCACGAAUAAUAAUAAAUCGUUUUUGUCAUAUGUAAAGACAUAUGCACAUACAUAUGUACUAAGUAAAUAUCGUACACAUAUAGUAAAAAAUACUCAACAAUUUCGGUGAAACCAUUUUGCGCUACAAUUUCAUUUGAAUUCUUAACAAUUUUGAAUACCAAUUUUCAAAAGAUAUAAACACUUUUUUUUAUACAAAUUUAAUUUACACAUGCAUACAUGUCAGUAUGUAUGUAUGUAUGUAGGUGCUUAAUUUUGAUUUCUGCUGUUAACUGCUAUGAAAAUAAAUACUUUUAAUAUACAAUAUACAUACUCGUACAAAUGUAUUUAUACACAUACGAGUACUGAAGUAUACAUGUAUACACGAGCAUAUUGCAACAACAACAUAUUAUAUAAUAUUGUUCCAGUAGAUUUUCUUAAUGACUUUGGUAAUCAAAUCUCGUUGGCGAAAAUCGGUGGCUUACUUACAUAUAUCUCUGUUAUAUUUACUACGAAUUUUUGCCGGAAUAUAUUCACUACUCUUAAUAAAUCUGGGUAAUGGGUAUGGAAAUAAUUUUAUUUUAUAAUUUAGUCAAUCAAUACUCAUAUUGCAGUUAGUGUAUGUGUAUAGUAUGUAUGUAUUUCAAAAAAUUAAAUCUUACAUUUGUUCACUAUAAUAAAACGCAUCAAAAUAGAGUUGUUUGUAUAUGAUGAUCAUUAUCUCGUAAAUAUCUUACAGUUGUGGUGUAUAUGUAUGUAUUUAAACAAUUACAUACAUACAAUUUGUACACUUUUAUAAAAGAGAGCGCCUUAUGCAUUUUCAAUGAUAACAAAGUCAUAUAAAUAUAUAUACUUAUUACAUAUAUAUUAUAUUAUUAAAAUGAAUAAAUAAUGAGUAGAAUAUACUGUAUUUACAAAAAAAAAAAAAAAAAAAAUUAAUCAAUCAAUAAAAAUCGUAUUAUGCAUAUAAUCAUUUAAUUCCAGAACUAUUUAAAAAAUAUAGUAGCGAAAAUAAUUACAAUUUUCACUGAGCGGCAACAAUGAACAAUGAGCAACUCUCAUUUUUACCUUUUAUAUUGCAUUGGCCUAAAAAAGCUUCAACCUGCAAAAGGUCAAAGAUUAUAUAUUUUGUACCACAUUACAAAAAUUGGCUAUAAGCAACUGUUGAUAAUUAGACUUCUUAUGUUUCUCCAAUGAUCUAGAUUUGUAUAUUUUGUAAUCUGCCGGUUUGACAUUGACAUCAUUUCCCAUUAGCAAUAGCUCUUACAGCCACAAAAUAUAAUUUUCUUCACAAAGUCUCUGCUUGUACGGAAACAAAUUGUUAAAAAAAAAACAGCGGCCACUUGUGGCAAUAUGAUAAUUAGUGAGUGCACAUAUAAAUACGUACAUAUGGAAGUUUCCUGCUUGCAGUCUGCUUUUUGAUAUUCAGUUCUUCUAGUUGCGAUGACUGAAAUACUAGCCUUCUUAGACGCAUUAUGAGCAGGACUUGACUUUCGCAUCGACUGUGUCAAUGUUUCGCUGCAGGUACUACCAGUGAAGCAGCUUCAGAGAGAACAGGCGCAACCUUAAGACUGAUCUGAAUGCAAAUUAUGUGUCUGCAUAAACUAAGCAUAUACCUAUGUAUAUGGUUCACUUAAUACAGGCAAAGGAUGAAUUUAGGCUAUAAUUAGUUGUCACCCUAGCAGUGUAAUAUAACUUUAACAUAUGUAUAAAUUUUCGAGUUAUUGCAUUCUAUUAGACAAAAUUAGAAAUAAUGAAAUCAACGCUAAAUAUGAUUUUUAAUACUUCAGUUUGUAUUUGUGGUUUGGAAAAUUAAAUUCAUAUUUAAACAGCCCUUGCUCGCUUAAUCUAUCUACACAAUAAUUUUACAUAAUUCUUCGUUGCAUAUAAUUAUUGUAUUCAUGUACUUUAAUAUUAGUUAAAUAUUAUAUAAUUCUUACUUUUAUAAGUUCAAGUAUAUUCCUAAAUAAUUGAUUUAUGCAAAUUAUAAUUUCACAAAUAUUUUCGAUUAGUGUCGCCAACAAGAGUUUAUUCUGUUUCAAUUUUAUUUUAUAGAUUUAAGUUCUUUUUGCCUACAAAUUUGGAGCAUUUUUGAAGAUAGCCAAAAUAGCUUAAAUAAUAAUUAGCAACCGCAUGCUUACAUACAUUCACAAUAUACAAAUAUAUUAUAAUAUGUAAAGCUUUAUUUACAGGACUCUUAAACUGGGUAAACAAUUUUGAAAGGUGCUAUUGGUCAAACCUCGAAAAAACUCCCAAAUGUUUUACAACCUUCGCCUCUACAAAAUGGGUAAAAUUUUCAAAACUUAGAGAUUAAUUAUUAUCAAAUGCACUAUACAUAUGAUAAGUUUUUGAAAAAGGUUAUGUUAGUUUGGGUUGGGACUACUGGGACAUCUAAAAUCGAUGUGGCAAGUUCUGUAACGAAGCUUUCUAUAUUCGGAAAGAAGGUAUAGAAACUAAUCUACAGCAUCGUUCAAUUUAGGUCUUGGUGAAUUCUUGCUGUCACAGUUCUUAUAUGAUAUAAAUAUAUAUUGUAUAUUGUCUGCCGUUCUUCGUAAAAAUAUAGACCCCUACGCCUUUUCUUGCAAACGAAUCCGAAAAGUGUUUCUAUUUAUUUUCUCUCUCUUUCUCUGCAACACUAAAUUUCUAACAUUUUUUGAAAGUACAAAAUAUAUCCGAGGAAUUUAAUUUAUCUUUAACUGUAUAUCGCUGUAAUGUGGCCAGACAUGAAGUUUCUGAAUUAGAAUUGAAAUAUUGUGGUUUGAAAUGUGUAGGAAUAUUAGGGUGUGCCAAAAAAACGUUUAAUGUUUUUCCUUAGAUAACGUUAAAGGUACCCUGAUGAAUACACAAAAAUAUUGUUAAGCAAACUUUUAUAUAAACCAACCAUAUUUGUAUGUUGUGGUAAACCUUUGAAUUGUUGUAAAUAUAAAAAUAUAAUAUUAAAUAUGGUCGUUAUGUAAGCAUGCGAUUAUUUGCUUACUUAUACGAGUAAUUGAGCUACAACGGUUUUGGUUGAUUUUAUUCACGAUUCUCAAGUGUUUCCUUUACUUUAUAGCCUUAAUUAAUUUUCUAAUUAGUUUUUAAUAUUUUUUAUAGCUUUAUAUAUAUAUAUCUUUUUUUUAAAUAAUAAUAAUACUCAGUUGCAGCUAAUAUUUGCUGUAUGUUCAUUUACUAGGCCAAAAGUUAUGUUCAAUUUGUAUAAUUAAGUUAAACUAUUUAUUGUAUUACUAUAAUAUUAUAUAUUACUUAAUAUUGCAUAUUUGCUUUACAACUUUAACAAAUUCGUAUACUUACACACGGCUGCACGCACUUAUUUAUACAUAUGUAAGUAUAUUGAGGGCGUCAAACAAUGUUUUUUAGGAUAAAUAGACCACAUCGAGAUUUGUAUAGAGUUUGUUUUGUGUUUUCUUUUUGUUCAAUAUACCACUUACUUAAAAAAUAUACAAUAUACAGAUGUAUAAUAUAAUAUCCUAUAUUUGUGUUGUUAGCUUCCUACAUACAAGUAUUUAUGAAUCUAUGCAUAUAUGCUUAAACAUGUAGUCUGUACGUAAUUAUUUAUAUAAUUUGACACAACCGUAUAUGUAUGUAUAUAAUUCAGUAUUUCAUGAAUUUCUACGCAUUCGUGUAAUUACAUUUAGUUUCCUUAUUUUCAUUUAUAUUUUAUUAUAUAUUUCAUGUAUAUGUAUAUUAAUUAGUGUACGUGUUUUUAGCAGUUCUAGGAAAUAAAUCGUUUGCAACUUUUCCAAACCUAAAAAUGCCUUUUGUGCAAUUCACAUGUGUUUCAUCCUAACCUCGGCUUAUGUACGGGUACUGGUUGAGUACCACUCAAGGUUUAGUUGCCUAAUUGAUAUUUCAUCGAGCGGAAAGUUUUAAAAUUGCAGUUGAAGUAUUUUCCACAGCCCAAUUCAAUUAGUGCUUUCUUACUGCCUGUCACUGUAGUCGUAUAUCCUGCGUAGGACGUAGUCGUAUAUCCUUUGUAACGUCCGACAUUACCGGAAUUACGAAUUACAAUUAUAAGAAAUUGAAGAAUUUAAUCUCUAAACCCCUUUAAGCUAAAGAACUUAAUACAUAUUUUCAAAGAUAAUGCACUUUCGUUAUCUAGUAUAAUACAAUAUUUUCAAAUAAUAUUUCAUAAUUAUUAGUCGAAAAAAGGUGUCGACGCCUAAAAUCAGACUAGCAGAAACAGAGACACACAAAAAUUGGUGAACACAAAACAAAAAACCUUUAGGUAACUAUGGUAUUUUCACUUUAUCUUUAAAAGAUUUAAAUAUGAAUUAAAAAUAUUAAACUUUUUCUUUCGAAGUUUUAAGAGCUCUCGCUCCUUAACGGUACAAUUUGGUUUCGAAAACAUCUCUUUUAAUAAUUAAUCUAGCAGCAAACUUAAUCCCACUACGGUUGUCUUAACAUCCUUUCUAAUCACCCAGCCACCAUACUUUAUUGUGUGGUCGAAAAAAGUUUCAAAAUCGUUGAUUGCAAUGUAAACUGGAAUAUAUGUUUCCAACCGUGUAAUAUUUUAAAUCAGUUGAUCGCCAAUUAUUGAAUUACUUCCCCGUUUAAAAAAGCUGAAUCUAGGUAAUACUUAGUGCAAUCAUUGUCAGACAAUUGUUAAGUUUUUUUUUUUAAGUGUCAGAAUGUCAUCCUAGAGAUCUGAUCGAAGAAAUAUCGGUGAAUCGAUAUAAUUCGUGAAUUUAAUCUAUGUACAUCUAUAGUCAUAUUAUUCAGAUAAGGUUACAGACAUACUCUUGUAAUUAUAUAGUGAAUUGACACCCGAUUUGAUUUAUUUGUACAGACGUGAAAUGAGAACUUCAAGUAGUUACAUUAUUUAUUUUAUUUAUUCAGCGUUGAUAACAGUUAGUUUUGCAUUUAUUUAGUUUUUUUUAUUUAUGUGCAUUAUUAUUUAGUUUCAGUGUUUGUUUUAAAUCAUCAUACAUUUUCCGAUACAGAAAUAUGACAUAAGUUCAAAUGUUAAAUGAAAUUUCAAUUAACCAAUACUCAUUAUGAAGAUCACAAAACGUACUAGUACAUAAUACAAUUUGUUCGAAAUGUUGAUUGUAAGAUUAAGGAGAAUAGAAGAAUGUUAUUUUUACUUGACCAAAUCGAAUUUAUAUAAUGCAAGCAAAAUAAUUAAUAAAGUAGUUAAUGCAUAAUUAAAUUACAAUAAAAAAAUUUGAAGGGUGGGGUUUUUUUUUCAUAAUUUAAAAAAGUGUUGCGUUACAUUAAAUCGAAAUUUAAAUGCAAUUUUUGUUCAUCAUACUACACAUACAAGUAUAAAGAGUCUAAUUGAAAAUAUGAAAAUAUAAUAAAAAAUCAAUAUCAAACGAAGAUAAUGUAAGAAAUAGGUAGUAUAGAGAUUUCAGCUAGUAAGUGAUGAAGUGCUGCUAUUAGUUAACCUGGGUCUUUAGUAAUUUGUCACAAGCAUAAUGAGUUUUGAGAGGGAGGGGAAAUGUUCUGAGAGGUACUGUCGAAAAAUCAAAAAAGGGAUAAAUAAUUAUGCAAUCCACUGCGGUGUUCUACAUUAGUUUAAAUGCUUGCUUAGAAAAUAUUGCUUUGUCAGGCCUAAUGUACUAAAUAAAAUGGAAAUUAAAAGCAACAAAAAAUAUUUAAAAUCCUCUAUAUCUCUUUUGUACGUGAAGUUUUGCAAAUGUGACUCAGUUUAUAGAAGCAUCUUCGGUUUUAUAUAUAUGAAACAAACAACAUAUUUCGUUGUUUGCCCCCACGAGCGCUCGCUACUUGGUAGCGAUCACAUCACGUUGGUAAUCAGUUAACACUAUCCUUAUUCUGGUUGAUAUUUUUUGUUGAUAUUGUUUAAUAAUACCGCUCCGAAUUCUUCUCCAUCUCUUCAGCUAACAUACGCAGUUCCACACAUAUUGUUCGUUUGAUAAUUUGCUGUUUACUUUAAAUAUCUACGGAGAAAUAAUGCAUUCUUUGAAACAUUGAAAAGUCCAAUAGAUUUUCAAGAAACCAAACUACUAUACUACUUACUCACAUAAGCAUUACAGCUAUUUAACUACGAGUGCGAAUGUAUAGUAUGUAAACAAAUAACGUGGAGCAAGGUGUAUUAACUCCGCCGAUAAUGUCUCGUUCAGUCACUCUGUUGUUCUGGCGGAUAAGGAAUUCGUUAAUACAUAAAUGCAUUUCCUAUUGCUAAAUAGUGAGUGCCUAUAAGUAUGCAACACGCGGGUAACGCGAUACCAGCAGUGCUAACAUAUCGGUCUAAUUAAAAAUGCUUUGCAGUUUUUUUUUACAAUUGCCAUUAAUGACAUUAUCUUGGAACGUACUGAAGUCUCAAUAUUAUACUUCCGGCGUAUUAGCCUUAAUUCCGAUAUUUUAGUCAUAAAUGCUUUAAACUGAAGUAAACAGUUAUCUCUAGUUGUGAUUGAAAUUUCAUAGAGAAGAACUCCUUGAAAAUUGUUUCAGAAAGAGUGAGGCUGACGGUUUCGGAAUCUACGUAGCGCACUUUUCGGCGCAUACAAAAAUUUCAAACGCCUUUUUACGAUAAAAAUAUAUUUAGUGGAUGUUGUCGAGUCUUUCUAAUAAUUUACAAUACGCUGCAAAAAAUUGUCAUAGAAGAUAUUUCAAAAUGGCAUGCGCAGAGAAUGCGAAUUCAAUCUAACAAUGGGUUUUACGGUAUACCAACAAAAACUGUAAAACUCGACAUUCCAUAUUGAGCACCUUGACCUAAGAAGCAGUAGCGGAAUUGUGAUACAACAAUGCCGAAAUCCAAUGUACAUUGUACCUCAUGUGCAAAAAGAGAAAUCUUUUUUAUUCGCUUGAAUGUCUCUCUCUCCAUUCAGAUUUUUUUUAUUUAAUUUUAUUUUAUCUCAUGUUUUUUUGUUUUUAUUUUUUACUGAUUUUUCUAACGUGCAUGUCGCUUAUGAGUUUUGUGUGUUAAGUCACUUAGAAGUCUUCUUUCUUAGUUGCUUCUUUGUUAAUUCUAUCGUAAAUAAUAUUAAUCUAUGGUAUUAAUAAAUUAUCAAUUAUUAACUACAUAGUACAGAGUAGUCUAGGUAACAGUAGAUAAUUUCAGUAGGGUUAUAAUUUAUAAAUUUCAUAUUACUUUAUUUUUGUUGAGAAUUACGUUCUUCGUAUUGUAUGCAUGUAUGUAUGUUUGUUUGUUACUUGUAUACGGCUAAAGUCAACAGGAAGGAUAAGAUAGGUGUUUUUGCUUAGCUUUUUGCUUUUGAUAAAUGUAUCUAAUUUCAUCUCUUGUCUGUGUUUAUUUUUUUGCAAUACCAUAGAUGCUUAUGUAUAUAUAAUAUAUGUAUGUACGUUUACAUAUGUAUGUUUAUACAAGUUAAUAAUUAUGUUUAUUGAUUUUUUUUCUUUAUUUUCAAUAUCGUUUUUCUUCAGUAUUUCAGUAUUUUAUUAUUCAUAUUCAUUUUCGCACUACGUAUGUUCUUCAUGUAUGCAUUUGCAUGUACAGUUGUGCAAUUACGUAAGUAUGUAAGUUGUUGUAGCAUAUGUAUGUAUAUAAAUUAUUUGUUGCACCAGGAAUUUACUUCCGACCAAAUAGAAACAGAAAAGCAAAAUAGAAAAACUUGGCGCGUUGGGCAAAAUUUCUUCGGUUUUUUUUCUAAUUUGCUUUGCAUGUUCGUGUGUAUAAGUUUGUUGUACGUGUAAAUAGCUUCAGCGUUUGCCUGCUAAUUGGCAUGAAUUACAAAUUUGACUUACAAAAGCAAACGGCUGCGCCGCAUUACAACUUAUGUUUGAGUGUGUGAGUGUGUAUGUGUGUGUAAGUUCUACUAUAAGCAAGCAAAUGUUCGUUUGUUCGCUUAUUUUCGCAUUUCUUUGUUUAUGUUUUUUAAAUAGCUUACGAAAAAUGCACAGCUGCGACAAUAAUGAGUUUAUCUAAACCUGCUUUGCAAAUAGUUUUCUCAGCAAUAUUUGGUUUUAUAUAGUCUAAAUUAUUUUUGCUUUUAAAAAUAUCACGAAUUUUCUAUAAUUUUCGCAUCGCCAGUUUGUUUUGUUACUCUCAAAACCGAUUAUUUAUGCAGGCUCUCCAUUUAUGGAGCUACAUAUGUAUAUAAUUAACGGUAAUGUGAUGCUUAUGUUUUACACAAUUCUAUUUUUAUUAUUGCUCUCUCUCUCUUUCUCUAACUAAAUUUUCAAUUCGAUUAUCAAUGACCUUUCGUUGCAGAAAAAUGCGCAGGCGCAGGCGCAUAUUUUGAGUUAAGAGAAUUUAUUAUGUAUGCACACGCAUGUCAAUUA
Bactrocera oleae (olive fruit fly) is the source of this 11875-nucleotide non-coding RNA. Lineage: Eukaryota; Metazoa; Arthropoda; Insecta; Diptera; Tephritidae. The record is from RefSeq and is a predicted model, not a curated record.